Molecule: ribosomal RNA, 322 nt
Filed under: Nassula sp. K3-0130-2
Lineage: Eukaryota; Ciliophora; Nassophorea; Nassulida; Nassulidae
Description: bacterial SSU rRNA
Rfam family: Eukaryotic small subunit ribosomal RNA
Source: RNAcentral
CAUCUAAGGAAGGCAGCAGGCGCGUAAAUUACCCAAUCCUGACUCAGGGAGGUAGUGACAAGAAAUAACAAACCGGGGCACUCUGUGCUUACGGGAUUGCAAUGAGCACAAUGUAAAUCAAUUAGCGAGGAUCAAUUGGAGGGCAAGUCUGGUGCCAGCAGCCGCGGUAAUUCCAGCUCCAAUAGCGUAUAUUAAAGUUGUUGCAGUUAAAAAGCUCGUAGUUGAACUUCUGGGCGACGGCUUCAGCGGCGCGAGUCGUUGAGCGUCUGUCCAUCCAUCUGGGAACUACGUUCGUCCUUCACUGGUCGGCGUAGGGAACAGA